CCAUCAACAGUAAAGAUAAGAACGACGAAAUCGUCAGUAUGCUUGGCGCCAGCUAUUUCCGCGUUAUCGGCGCAGGCCAGGUAUAUGGCUUAUCUGCGCGCGGCCUGGCGAUUGAUACCGCCUUACCAUCUGGUGAAGAGUUUCCCCGCUUUCGCGAGUUCUGGAUUGAGCGUCCAAAACCCACCGAUAAGCGUUUGACCGUCUAUGCAUUACUGGAUUCUCCGCGCGCGACCGGCGCUUACCGCUUUGUGAUCAUUCCUGGCCGCGAUACCGUGGUGGACGUGCAGUCAAAGGUCUAUCUGCGCGAUAAAGUGGGCAAGCUGGGCGUUGCGCCAUUAACCAGUAUGUUCCUGUUUGGGCCAAACCAGCCGUCGCCGAUGACCAACUAUCGUCCGGAACUGCAUGACUCGAACGGCUUAUCCAUUCAUGCGGGUAAUGGCGAGUGGAUUUGGCGUCCGCUGAACAAU
This 467-nucleotide unclassified non-coding RNA is filed under the name uncultured fungus. RNAcentral's name for it is "partial internal transcribed spacer 1". Lineage: Eukaryota; Fungi. The record is from RNAcentral.